UACGUAGGUGGCAAGCGUUGUCCGGAUUUACUGGGCGUAAAGAGCGCGCAGGCGGUCGUUCAAGUCGCGUGUGAAAGCCCCCGGCUCAACUGGGGAGGGUCACGCGAUACUGAUCGACUCGAAGGCAGGAGAGGGAAGUGGAAUUCCCGGUGUAGUGGUGAAAUGCGUAGAUAUCGGGAGGAACACCAGUGGCGAAGGCGGCUUUCUGGCCUGUUCUUGACGCUGAGGCGCGAAAGCCAGGGGAGCAAACGGG
Molecule: ribosomal RNA, 253 nt
Filed under: uncultured bacterium
Lineage: Bacteria
Description: partial 16S ribosomal RNA
Rfam family: Bacterial small subunit ribosomal RNA
Source: RNAcentral